UUCCCGUUCUCCACUCCGCGCUGCUCCCUGCAGCUUACAUAAGCGCUGCGCACACAUGCAGUGCAUCCGUCUUCUGCUUUACGGAAGGUCCCGGCAGGACAGUGAAGCUGAAAUGCUACUAGAUGUCCCUUCCCCUCCCCUCGCCCCCGGAGCUGUCAAAUAGUCACGCCUUAAAUCAACAAAUCCAGCUGCAGCAAAUACCCUGUGACAGGAGAGAAAGGCGGCCGGAUCUAAGCCUGAAAGGAGAAAUCGGUCCUAAGGAAAUAGGAACACUUGGGAAGGGGGCAUCUGAGCAAGUGCUUUAACCUCUCGGCUAGCGCAGCGCUUCAUCUAAUCUGCUGGGACAACCUGCCAGCCGCAUUGAGUCGGGUAAAGCCAGCCAAAGUCAUCAGACCUACUUUGCCAAGAGAAAUGAAGGACAAACUGGUUUGUGCUGAAUCUUCUCAGUUACUACGGUAGACUGAUGUCAUAGCUGGAAAAUGAUCACAUGGAAAAAAAAAAGACUGCAUUUCUCACCCUCCCUUGGAGCUGAACUUGGCUGUAUGACUCACUUCUGGGCAAUGAGCUGUAGGAAGAAGUAAUAUGUACAACUUCUGCAAAAUGUCUUCAGGAAAGAAGAAACAUGACUUCUCUUUUCUCCUCCUGCUGGAUGGAAUUGUGAAAACUUAAUAAACAGAGACCUCAGUUAAAUAAAGUUGGGAGACCAGAAGGGGGAGCUCUCAUGUCCUGCAACCAUAGCACAGUCCAACAGGAAGAAGAAAGACUCCUCUUCCUUUCCUGCAAGGACUCAGCCAAUGAAAAGUUAUGGACUACUAUAGCACUCCCAACUUCCUUUUCCUCUCUAUAAAAGUAUCCUCCUUGCCUUUCCUUGCUAGGGACUUGCACAUUGCUCCUCAUAAUUGCAGACCCCGAAUUGAAAUUCUCUGCUGAUCCCAA
Balaenoptera acutorostrata (minke whale) is the source of this 936-nucleotide long non-coding RNA. RefSeq lists it as uncharacterized. The transcript is spliced from 3 exons. Lineage: Eukaryota; Metazoa; Chordata; Mammalia; Artiodactyla; Balaenopteridae. The record is from RefSeq and is a predicted model, not a curated record.